UUAAAUCAACAAUUGAUUAAUAAGAGUUCAAUUUAAUCCAGUUUAUGAAAAUUUGUUCUUUCUUUUAUAAUUUUCAUUCAUUUUCUAGAAAUAAUUACAUUUGUGAAAAUGGAAUUGGGUGAUUUACCGUACGAGUGUUUAUUGUGUAUAUUUGAUUGUUUUUCGAAUCUCAAACUGCUUUUGAAUCUGUCAACAGUUUGUAAACAAUGGAACAUUUUGGUGAAACAGCGACUGAAAAAAAUUCGACAUUUACAUGUCGAGAGUAAAUCCGAUUUAUCAUAUGUCCCUUUUUCAUCUGACAAUCACAUCUACACGGAUGAUAUUGGAUAUUUGGAAAGAGUUAAUGUCUCUCAGUUAUUACCGAACCUUAAGUUUUUUACUAAAAAACCUUAUCUAGGGUCAAGAUGUACCUGUAAAAUGAUGGUAAAUGUUUUGUCCACUUCGAAACCGUUGGUUGGACUCAUUUGUAAAGCUCAAUGUCUUGUCGCAGGAAGGAUGCUAGGCUUUUACUGCCACGUCAAUGUCGAUGAGAUGGUUAAACACUGUGGUAACCUCGAGUAUCUGGACACCUUGUUUCAACCUUUUCUGCAUAGCUAUUUCUUAAAAUAUAAAUUCGGACAAAAUUUGAAAUAUUUUGAAGGUUCAAUCGAAAGUUACAACGAAGAUCCGGAAAAUAAAGAUUAUGAAACGCUGUUGGAGGAAACAAAUUUGCUAUGUUGCUACUUGAAGCAAAUGUCAAAUCUUGAAGUUCUGAGUUUGAGAGAACCACUAAUUGAACCUCGUCUUUGGCCUUUACCAAAAAUGAAAUUGGAAGAGAUUCGAUUUAAGGAUAUAACCACAGAAACGCCAGUCUUCCAGUUCUUGCCUUUGCUCCCUGAUUUACGAAGUAUCGAUUUGGGUAUUCGUUAUGUUAACCAUGAUAAUGAAGCUUUUCGUGAUUCGUAUACUCAUCUGAAUGUCCAAGAUGUAGCUCUAGACAUCCAGGUCUUCGGAAGGUCGAGUAUCAGAUGCUUGAAGCUGAUUAGAAGUAUUUUGAUCAAGUUUCCUAAUCAUAAAAGACUGUUCAUUCGUCUCACUUACCAAUUUUCGAUAACUAAUGAGGAUUUGGUUCAGAUAAUCAAAAAUUCACCGAAUUUAACUCUAUUUGUCUUGGAUGUAAUGAGUUGGGGAGAUGCAAAUACUAUUGAGACAAUCGAUAAAUUCUGUAAAUCAACAGGUCGUCGAAUAUCCUUUUACUUGCUUCGCGAUGAUCGCACAUGGAAUUACUCUGUUAGAACUGGAUCAUAUACACGAUAUGUAUUGGGAGAAGAUUGUGCGAAUCCUGGAACGACUGAUAACAAAUUCUUACAAAAAAACAAUUAAAUUUUUGACAAUGGAAUUAACUGAUUUACCUUACGAUUGUUUAUCGUAUAUAUUUGAUUGUAUUCCUGACCUUAAAUCGCUUUUGGAUAUGUCAACAGCAAUGGAACAUUUUGGCGAAACGAAGAAUCAACAAAAUUCGAUAUUUACAUGGUAAGUUAAUAAUAAGGUAAUUUAAUUUUGAAUUACAAAAAGAUUAAAUUAACUGCAUCUUUUCAAUUCUCCUUAUCCAUGGACAAAGUUGAGCAAGAUAUCGAACCUGAUCUUGCAGCGUCUCCCAAUCAUCUUUAUACGAAUGAAUCCAUUUUCAGCAGAAUGUUGAUUAGCUGGAU
This is an RNA transcript of Panonychus citri (citrus red mite), 1691 nucleotides long. RefSeq lists it as uncharacterized. Lineage: Eukaryota; Metazoa; Arthropoda; Arachnida; Trombidiformes; Tetranychidae. The transcript is spliced from 8 exons. The record is from RefSeq and is a predicted model, not a curated record.